UGGGGAAUCUUCGGCAAUGGACGAAAGUCUGACCGAGCAACGCCGCGUGAGUGAAGAAGGUUUUCGGAUCGUAAAACUCUGUUGUUAGAGAAGAACAAGGACGUUAGUAACUGAACGUCCCCUGACGGUAUCUAACCAGAAAGCCACGGCUAACUACGUGCCAGCAGCCGCGGUAAUACGUAGGUGGCAAGCGUUGUCCGGAUUUAUUGGGCGUAAAGCGAGCGCAGGCGGUUUCUUAAGUCUGAUGUGAAAGCCCCCGGCUCAACCGGGGAGGGUCAUUGGAAACUGGGAGACUUGAGUGCAGAAGAGGAGAGUGGAAUUCCAUGUGUAGCGAUGAAAUGCGUAGAUAUAUGGAGGAACACCAGUGGCGAAGGCGGCUCUCUGGUCUGUAACUGACGCUGAGGCUCGAAAGCGUGGGGAGCAAACAGG
RNAcentral lists this ribosomal RNA (429 nucleotides) under Chloroflexota bacterium. RNAcentral's name for it is "Chloroflexi bacterium partial 16S ribosomal RNA". It matches the Rfam family "Bacterial small subunit ribosomal RNA", at positions 355 to 776 of the family's 1533-position model. The record is from RNAcentral. Lineage: Bacteria; Bacillati; Chloroflexota.